UAGUGAAGUCAACUAUCAUUGCAUCUAUAAAGAACCAAUCGAAUUAAUUGCAACCAAUUUCUUACCUUUCUCAUUCAACUCUUAAUAUCACUUGUUCUUGAGAUCAUGGCUGCAGCAGUCGUAGGUGGUGCGUUCCUCUCUGCCUUCCUUGAUGUUGUUUUUGAAAGGCUGGCUUCACCUGAGGUUGUCAACUUUAUCCGUGGAAACAAGCUUCACAACAAGUCUUGCUUUUAUGUUGACGAUAGAUGGAUUUAGUAACCAAGGAUGAUCACCUGGAGACACAACUUCUAACCAGCUAGACAAACAUUAUACAAUUUUAUGGUAGCAAAAAAAAUGGAGACCGAAUCUCUUAUAUAUGGAACGUGUCCAUCCCACUUCAACUGAGGAAUGCAUUAAUGUACUGAACAAUGCUCUCAUAGUUGAAUAUGUUGCAAUAAUACAUCACUUAGUAUAGGGAAAAGAAGAAGUUAAAGUGAAAAGAACAAAAAAGAAUACACUUUAAAUUAUUUUUAUUGGUUUUAAAAAUUGACUAUACAAAAUCAUCUUAAUUUAGAAAGGUACCAUAGUAAUUUCUUUUUUAAUAUAAUUAUGAUAAAAGUUAACAAAUUUAUCAUUGAUUAAAUGGUAAUGUAAAAAUAUUACAGUAAGCACGCACACUAUUUGUGUUUAUAAAUAAGGUUUAA
Molecule: long non-coding RNA, 683 nt
Organism: Cajanus cajan (pigeon pea)
Lineage: Eukaryota; Viridiplantae; Streptophyta; Magnoliopsida; Fabales; Fabaceae
Source: RefSeq, a predicted model, not a curated record